UACGUAGGGUGCAAGCGUUGUCCGGAAUUAUUGGGCGUAAAGGGCUCGUAGGCGGUUAGUCGCGUCGGGAGUGAAAACUCAGGGCUCAACCCUGAGCGUGCUUCCGAUACGGGCUGACUAGAGGUAUGCAGGGGAGAACGGAAUUCCUGGUGUAGCGGUGGAAUGCGCAGAUAUCAGGAGGAACACCGGUGGCGAAGGCGGUUCUCUGGGCAUUACCUGACGCUGAGGAGCGAAAGCAUGGGGAGCGAACAGG
Molecule: ribosomal RNA, 253 nt
Filed under: uncultured bacterium
Lineage: Bacteria
Description: partial 16S ribosomal RNA
Rfam family: Bacterial small subunit ribosomal RNA
Source: RNAcentral